This 1494-nucleotide transfer RNA is filed under the name Canis lupus familiaris (dog). RNAcentral's name for it is "lncRNA (ENSCAFG00000048314.2)". Lineage: Eukaryota; Metazoa; Chordata; Mammalia; Carnivora; Canidae. The record is from RNAcentral.
CUUGAAAGCUGGAGGAAACCUGGUGGUUGACUUGUUUCCACUUUCAGUUCUGGUGCUGGGCCUGUACACGUCUGAGCUCCACUGUUCUCCCAACGCCUCCCAGCCCCGGGCCACCCCCAGGUACGGCCUCGGCCAGCCUGCAGGGGGACAGCUCGAUGCUGAUGUGCGCAGGGGGAGGGAAUGAGCUGGGCCUGUCCCCUCUUUCAUCCUUCACACCCGCUCCUCGGAAACACAGAAGCCGGCGAGAUGAGAACACAUGUCCAGGGACCCCCAGGGUAACCGGGGGCCCCUACUCCCCAGGGGCGCGCCCCCUUGGAGCUGCGCUGCGCAGAGAGAGGUUGCGGUUCGCGCCGGACUAGUAGGACCGAGACGGCUGGGACAGCGGCCCGCGGACCCGCCGCGGAUGUAUUUCGUGCUCGUAAAUAAGAGAGGUGCCCGCGUUCCUGUUUGAGCGGAAAGUCCUCUGUAGACGCGCCAGAAGGUGGGGUCAAGGGUUACGGCGGCUUCCCCGGAGGAGCCCGGCAUCUCCAAAAUUGUCGUCCUUCGAGCCGGAUUCGAACCAGCGACCUAAGGAUGCCUCAUUGCUCCAUCUACAGUCCUCCGCUCUACCAACUGAGCUAUCGAAGGACCCCGGAAGGGCCUCUUGCAGGAUUGCUGAAAUAAUGUCUAUCCGGAGGGUUGCCGUGUUGGUAACGUUCAGAUUCGCUUCUAAAAGUGCAAUUUUGAGCUGUCUUCUUAGAUACCGAGUGUAUUUUCUAUAAUGAACUGAGUAACUGGUCCAUGGCUUUAGAAAUACAUGAAAUUCAUUGGGUUGUACAUCUCAGACGUUAGGAUAUUACUUAUGUCUAUCUCAAGGAAAAAACCCAAAGGGUACCCAUCCCAUGUCCUCUUACCCUAGGAAUAGCAUAGCUCAAAGUAAUGCCCUGGGUUACACCCGGCUUCCUUCCUGCUCUCUGGUGACUUCCUUCUUCUCUCAAAAGCGUCAGUUUGUUCAGUAAGUGUUAUAGUUGCCAUAAAUACAGACAACUAGGCUGAAGAUCUCUGGGUUGGGAACAGAGCAAUGCCUGGCAUUUUGGUACACUGCAGUACUUCAUUCUGAAAGUCUAAUGGGAAAUCGUGUGUAUUCAUAAUGCCAGCGGCAAAAAAUUUGGAGUGUUGAGUGUGUGCACGUGUGUGUGUAAAUUUUUUUGUUGUUGAUGUUUGGGUGGUUCAUAUUAUAUUGCGUAAUUAUAGUAGAGCAAUUAAAAUGAAACACAAAUCCUGAAAAUUAUUAAAUGGAGAUAUAAAUAUUCCUUUUCAAAGUUCAAUCAUUCAACGUUGAAGUUCAACAUAGAUUCAUCAGUUUCCUUGCAUCUGCUGCAGAAAUAGACACAGAUGGAGAAGAUACUACACUAUCUGGAGCAAAUAUGUAUACAUUUUCCUUUGUAAUAUAUUUAAGGAAAAGAUUAAGUGGAUUUCUGUAUAAAAUAUCUGUACUUAUUAAAAUAAAAUUUC